ACACCUACAGGUUAUGAACCUGCUAGCGUUCCACUGGACUGUCUAGAAAGAGUCUGUGGUCGUUAUCCAUACUCCGCUGAAUAACUAGAUCAACAACAACAACAACAUCGAGGCCUCUCAUCUGUUUAUUACACACCAACUAUCUACCCAUGUUCUACCCAACAUAUUAGUAGAUAAAAAUAUAUAUUUUCAUACAUAGUUUAAAACCUGUAUAUCAUUUUCAUUCAAUACAUAUUCCACAUAACAGAUGAGGCACACCCACAUAACACGUAUUUCAUAGGAAAUAAAUCAGAUCUAUGAGAUAGAAGAGAAUGAAUAUACAUUCACACAUAUAACAACAAAAUUAUACACAUAAACAACAAUAUACUUAAUACACUCAAACCAUACUUGUAUUAUUAUCGUGUUUAUGAAAGGUAGUAUACACUCACUUGAUCAGAAGAUGAUCGGACAGCACUACGACUUGCAGAAGUAGUAAUCCUCAGCAGAUCUGGAAGAUCUCCACAAAAAUCGAACUUCUCGCGGGCAGAGCUUCGGCUCGGGAACCGCACUUCUCAGGAUCUUUAGGAUCUCGAGACUUGCUUCGGGGCUCGGGAAUGGUACCGGGGCUUCGGGGUACUUCUGGCACGCAAAUCGAGGUAAAACGGGAGAGAGAAGAGAGAAAAGAGCAAAAGAACUCAGCUGCCCUCGCAUCCUAUUUAUAGGAGGCUGGAGCCUCGGAGUACGCGGGGCGUAUUGCGUUACGCGGGGCGUACUGCCUCAGAAUCGUCAUUGCUUACGUAUCCGAAGAACUCGAGUGCGAGGCGUGUCAUGCUUCGCUGUACGCGGGGCGUACGCUAGUACGCUGGGCGUACUUCGGAUGAGUCCGAUGACUCCUCUUCGGAUAAUGCCAGGUUUAAUAAUUACAUUUAAUUAUUAAUUAUUUAAUAAAUUUCGAAAAUUCAUAUCUUCUUCAUACGAACUCCGUUUUCGACGUUCUUUAUAUCCACGCGUAGGUGAGACUAUGCUCUACAACUUUCGUUUAGACCCCGUCGGCUGCUUUUAACUUUAUUUUUAUUAUUUAUUUUUAAUAGGCCGAGACAGAAAAACUUCGUUAUAAAUUCAUAACUUCUUCGUUUGACGUCCGUUCUCGCCUAACUUUUUAUCGCUUCGAUACCAACAACGAGACCUUCGAUCCUCGUUUAGAUUGCUUCGGCUAAAAACCGCUCGAUCUCAAAUCGAGUAUUUCAGGCUGCAUACCGCUAAGUCGAAACUUCAGAAAAUCGUAACUUCCUCAUAUGAAGUCAGAUUUGGGCGUUCUUUAUAUAUUCGGAAACCUCGUUUCAACUACUACAAUAUUAUCCAAAGAUAUCAAGUUUAUUUUACACUUAAAUUUUGACGCUUAUUUUUAUUCUUAAUUAAUCCAACCACAUAAUUAAGCAAUUAAGCACAAAACACAUAAUACUCAAAUAAUACACUCUUAUUAUUUCAAAACGGGUUACAAAGGUUAACCUAGACUAUUACAUUGCUAAAAAUGGCAAGCCCGGAAACACAGGCGUUACAAUUCUCUCCACCUUAGAAUGAUUCCGUCCCCGGAAUCACACAUCAACAAACAAAUGCGGAUAGCGACUCAACAUGUCACUCUCCGUCUCCCAGGUGAGAUUCGGCCCAUUCGUGUGUUUCCAUCGGACAAGCACUAACCCAACCAUUUUGCGUCGCAACUUCUUAGUCUUUCGGUCAACAAUUGCCUCUGGUUCUUCAAUCAACCUUUUGUUCUCAUCAAUUCUCAAUUCAGAAAUUGGAAUUAUAUCGGGAACUUCUCCCGUGAACUUCCUCAAAUAACACACAUGAAAAGUGUUGUGAAUUCCAUUCAGUUCUUCGGGUAAUUCGAGCUUGUAAGCUUGGUUCCCAAUCCUCUGAAGGACUUUAAACGGUCCAAUAAACCUUGGACUCAACUUUCCCCUUUUACCAAAUCUUAUAAGUCCCUUCCACGGCGAGACUUUAAGCAAAACCGAAUCUCCAACCUCAAAAGUCAUCGGUCUUCGCUUCUUGUCAGCAUAGCUCUUUUGACGAUCUUGAGCUGCUAACAUUCUUUCCCUAAUUAUUUUCAACUUUUCAGCAGUUUGAUGAACCAUCUCCGGUCCCAUAAACUGCUUUUCCCCAGCCUCAAGCCAACAAGACGGCGUACGACACUUCUGUCCAUACAAAGCUUGAUAAGGUGCCAUCUUAAUGCUCGAGUGAAAACUAUUAUUAUAGGAAAAUUCUACCAACGGUAAAUGUUCAUCCCAAUUACCUAGGAAUUCCAAGGUACAUGCUCUCAGCAUAUCUUCAAGUGUUUGUAUUGUUCUUUCACUCUGACCAUCAGUCUGCGGAUGGUAAGCUGUGCUUAAACAUAACUUGGUACCCAUUUCCUCUUGUAGACUUUUCCAAAACCUUGAGGUGAAACGGCUAUCACGAUCCGAUACAAUCGUUAACGGAACACCGUGAAGCCUCACAAUUUCCUUCACGUAAGAAUUCGCAAGCUUUUCCAUAGACCAUUUCUCCCUGGCCGCUAUGAAAUGCGCACUCUUAGUGAAUCGAUCAACGACCACCCAAAUCAUGUCGUGACCAUUCUUUGUUCUGGGCAGUUUAGUGACAAAAUCCAUAGCAAUGUCUUCCCACUUACCCAUAGGCACAGGCAAAGGUUCUAAACUCCCGUACGGUUUCUGAUGUUGUGUCUUGACUCUCGCACAAGUCACACACUCGGCCACAUACUUUGCAACAUCAAGCUUCAUCGUCGGCCACCAGUAGUAGGGUUUCAGGUCCCUAUACAUUUUAGUGCUACCGGGAUGAAUCGAGUACAUGGUUUUGUGAGCUUCUUCCAUCAGAAGAUCUCUGACUCCUCCUGUCUUAGGUAUCCAAAUCCGAUCUUGGAACACCUUCAGUCCGUGACUGUUUACACCGAACACCAACGUUUUGCCCAAACGUUCCUCCUUUCGGUCAUUCUUCUCAGAAGCUUCGCUUUGAGCUUUCUUUAUACUUUCCAAAAUAGUCGAGACAACUUCAAUUCUCAACGCUCUUGGCCUUCUCCUUUCAAGAUUGACUUUCCGACUGAGAGCAUCAGCAACAACAUUAGCUUUACCGGGGUGGUAAAGUAUCUCACAGUCGUAGUCUUUAAGUAAUUCUAGCCAGCGUCGUUGCCUCAUAUUCAAUUCUUUCUGAUUAAAGAGAUAUUGGAGACUCUUAUGAUCAGUGAAAAGUUUGCACUUCGUGCCAUAGAGGUAAUGCCUCCAUAUUUUCAGUGCGAAAACUACCGCUGCCAACUCCAAAUCAUGAGUCGGGUAGUUCUUUUCGUGCUCUUUCAGCUGUCGAGACGCAUAUGCGAUCACCUUAUCCCUUUGGGUCAAAACGCAACCCAAUCCAACCCCAGACGCAUCGCUAUAAACAGCGAAGUCUUCAACUCCAUCGGGUAGAGAAAGUAUCGGUGCCUCGCAUAGUUUCUUCUUUAGCUUCUCGAAUGCUUCUUUAUGCUUAUCACUCCAAGCAUAAGUAGCUCCUUUGUGGGUCAAAGCUGUUAAUGGACUAGCGAUCGAAGAAAAGCCUUGGAUAAACCUUCGGUAAUAUCCGGCUAAUCCUAAAAAGCUUCGGAUCUCCGUGGGACUUUUCGGUUGUUCCCACUUCAUCACAGCUUCGAUCUUCGCUGGAUCAACCAUUAUCCCUUCUUGGUUGACCACGUGACCCAAGAAUUGGACUUCACGAAUCCAGAAAUCACAUUUGGAGAACUUCGCAUACAACUUCUCCUUCUUCAAGACUUCUAACACUUCUCGCAAGUGUCUGCCAUGCUCCUCUUGGCUUUUUGAAUAAAUCAGAAUGUCAUCUAUGAACACUAUCACAGAUUUAUCAAGGAACGGAUUACAAACUCUGUUCAUUAAAUCCAUGAAUGCUGCUGGAGCAUUGGUUAGUCCAAACGACAUAACCAAGAACUCAUAGUGUCCAUAUCGCGUUCUGAAUGCAGUCUUCUCUAUAUCCUGCUCCCUUACUUUCAGCUGAUGAUAUCCUGACCUCAGGUCGAUCUUUGAAAAAUAACUUGAACCUUGUAGUUGAUCGAAUAGGUCAUCAAUCCUCGGCAACGGAUAUCUAUUCUUUAUUGUUGCCUUAUUCAGCUCUCGGUAAUCAAUGCACAUCCUCAUGCUUCCAUCUUUCUUCUUUACGAAUAACACCGGAGCUCCCCAGGGUGAUGAACUAGGUCUAAUGAAACCUUUGUCCAAUAACUCCUGAAGUUGCAUCAUUAGCUCCUUCAUCUCCGUCGGUGCUAAUCGAUAAGGUGCUUUUGCAAUUGGCGUUGUUCCGGGCAACAAGUCGAUACGAAAUUCUACUUGUCGAUCGGGCGGUAAUCCAGGAAGAUCUUCGGGAAAUACUUCCGGAUAAUCACACACAACAGGAAUAUUUUGCAUCACCUUCUUUUCCUUCUUAGCAUCGAUCACGAAUGCUAAGUAUGAUGUACACCCCUUGGUCAAACAUUUUCUGGCUUUCAUUAGAGAAAUGAUUCCAGAAUUUACUCUGCGUUUAUCUCCGUACACCAUAAACGAUUCCUUCCCAGGCGGGUUCACUUUCACUAUUUUCUUCUUGCAUAAAAUUUCGGCAUCAUUGGCGCUAAGCCAAUCCAUUCCCAAAACGAUGUCGAAACCGUUAAGUUCGAUAGGCAAUAAUUCCUCGUGGAACUUAUUUCCAUUCAGAUCAAUUAAGAUGUUUUUCAUACGAUGGCUAACAGGUACAAACUUGCCACUAGCAACUUCGACUAAUAAAGCAUUAUCUAGUCUAUCAACAGGCAAAGCUAGUUUUCUACCAAAUUCAUGCGAUAUAAAGGAGUAGUUGGCUCCAGAAUCAAAUAAAAUUUGGGCAGGCAAUUUGUUAACGAGAAAGGUACCUGAAGCGACAUCAGCUUCAUCUUUAGCAGCUUCCAGUGUCAUCUGGAAUGCUCUCGCCUUUGGCUUUGGCGGAAUGUUGGGUCUUGCUGCUUCCUUCUUUUUCGGACAAUCCCUUGAGAUGUGCCCCUCCUCACCACAACCAUAACAAACAUUUUUGGUGAAGGUGCAGUCGUUGGCAUAAUGCCCUAGCUUUCCACAUUUGAAGCAUGUGGUUUCCCCGCCACACUUCCCAUGAUGCUUCUUCUUGCACUUGUCGCACCAUUUCGCCUCUACCUUUCCUCCACUUCCUCUCGAACUAGACUUCGAGAAUUUACUUUUCUUGCUGGACCCUGAAAAUCCAUCGAUUUUCCUUUUCUCGCCAACCUCUGACCUUUCCAGACCUUUUUCCCUGAUCUGGGUCUCAACAUUUCUAGCAGCCCAGAUGGCGGCUUUCAAUGUGGUUGCUUGCUUAACCAUUGGACCAUAGUCCGCUGGUAGUCCAAGGGCAAACUUGUUGACCUUAGAGAGUUCUGUAGGCACCAAAUAUGGGAUAAACUUCAUCUUUUCUGUGAAACUUGCAGCGUAUUCAGUAACGCUCAAUUUCCCUUUCUUCAAAUUCUGAAACUCAUUACUGAUUUCCAGAAGGUCCUGCUCGGAGCAGUAUUGCAUUUUUAGUUGUUCCACAAAGUCUUCCCAAGACAUUUUGCUUGCUUCUCCCUUGGGCAUAGAGUCAGCUAACAGCUUCCACCAACUCAACACGCCAGAUUUUAGCAGAGGGAUCGCAAGAGCGGUCUUCUGCCUGUUGCUGCAUUCGCAACUUUCAAACAUAGUCUCCAUUUCGGAGACCCAGUCCAUAACUUGUACCGGCGUCGGGCUUCCGGAUAGACAUGGUGGUUUGGAUGCCAUGAAAUCCUUAUACUUGCACCCACGACCAUCAUUUCCUCCAUACUGGUUAUUGCGUCUAACCACUGGUUGUUCGUCUUGACCAAUGAUCCCACUAAAGUUUUCUCCUUCAGACUGCCCUCCAUUCUCCUCGGGCUCUUCCGCUUGAAUUGACGGUUCUUCACGAUUCUGCCUAAGCAGGCGUCUUGUUUCUUCCAUCUGACGAUCCAACAUCAUUUGAAUCAUCAUUUGUACACCAGCCAUUGUUAUCGGCUCAGGUGCAUCAGCUACGACAGGUACUUGUUGAAUUACAGGCGGUUGAUUCCUGUUUUCAUCAGCAUUUCCAACGCCACUUCUUGUUCUCACCAUUUUUGAUCUACACACCGAAUAAUUUCACCUUAUUACUCCAAACGAUUACAUGCUAGUUCUAAUAUCGUAUACAUACGCUUAGAAUCCUAAACACAUAAACCUUCAGAUCCGGUUGGCAACAAACCGUAGAUCCGAACAAAUAAUAUCAUAUAUGGCAACAUAUAACAUUUAGCACAUAAAAGCAUUUUAGGCAACUUUCCUAAAAUAAACUAGUGCUCGUGUCUAAAAUCCAACAGACACACAUCUCAAAAUUCCACUUAGCAUUCUAAGUUUAAGUCUAGAAAUCCUACAAAUUCCUAGUUCGCUUAAACUAAUGCUCUGAUACCAACUGUGACAUCCCCAAAAUCACGGCCAGAAAAGACCGAUUUCAUUUAUGCUUUUUAAAAUAAUUUCAGAGUAAAUCCUUUUGAUUUAAAAGAGUUGCGGAAUUUGUUCCCAAAACAAAACAUGAUAAAAUAAUAUUUAUCAAAGCAUUUCAUCAAGAGAUGCAUUUUCAUUAUAUAAUCAAAACUCGGGAUGUCAUGUUCCGAUACAGACCAUAAAGCAUAAACGAUAACAUUACAAGUCAUUCAACAAAUAUAUACAUAUACAGACUUGUAAACAAAACAACUCGAUGAUUCAUCCAUCUUACGCCCUUGCGCCACUUCCUGUAAUACAAAUAAAACUGAGUGGGUCAGGCUUGGGAGCCUGGUGAGCAUAUAGGGUUUUCAACCCACAAUAAAUAAAUUAUAUUUAAUUUCACCAACCAAUCACUAUCCCGAUUACCCAUUCCCGUUAUCCUCACUUUACGUCCCUAAAACAACAUCUAUCUCAAGGGACCUAAUCUAGGAUUUUCAUCGGGACGGACAUCACUGCUAAGGGGUUUCCUCAACAAUAGAUAUCCUAAAGGCAACCAUGAGGGGGAUAGAGUACACCGGUGAACACAUCGUUCACAACACCUACAGGUUAUGAACCUGCUAGCGUUCCACUGGACUGUCUAGAAAGAGUCCGUGGUCGUUAUCCAUACUCCGCUGAAUAACUAGAUCAACAACAACAACAACAUCGAGGCCUCUCAUCUGUUUAUUACACACCAACUAUCUACCCAUGUUCUACCCAACAUAUUAGUAGAUAAAAAUAUAUAUUUUCAUACAUAGUUUAAAACCUGUAUAGCAUUUUCAUUCAAUAUAUAUUCCACAUAACAGAUGAGGCACACCCACAUAACACGUAUUUCAUAGAAAAUAAUUCAGAUCUAUGAGAUAGAAGAGAGUGAAUAUACAUUCACACACAUAACAACAAAAUUAUACACAUAACACGUAUUUCGUAUAAAAUACUUCAUAAUUAUGCGUUAGAAGAAAGUAACUACACACUCACACACAUAAACAACAAUAUACUUAAUACACUCAAACCAUACUUGUAUUAUUAUCGUGUUUAUGAAAGGUAGUAUACACUCACUUGAUCAGAAGAUGAUCGGACAGCACUACGACUUGCAGAAGUAGUAAUCCUCAGCAGAUCUGGAAGAUCUUCACAAAAAUCGAACUUCUCGCGGGCAGAGCUUCGGCUCGGGAACCGCACUUCUCGGGAUCUUCGGGAUCUCGGGACUUGCUUCGGGGCUCGAGAAUAAUACCGGGGCUUCGGGGUACUUCUGGCACGCAAAUCGAUGCAAAACGGGAGAGAGAAGAGAG
RNAcentral lists this long non-coding RNA (7774 nucleotides) under Lactuca sativa (garden lettuce). RNAcentral's name for it is "long non-coding RNA (LSAT_LNC006380)". Lineage: Eukaryota; Viridiplantae; Streptophyta; Magnoliopsida; Asterales; Asteraceae. The record is from RNAcentral.